AUUGAACGCUGGCGGCAGGCCUAACACAUGCAAGUCGAACGGUAGCACAGAGAGCUUGCUCUCGGGUGACGAGUGGCGGACGGGUGAGUAAUGUCUGGGAAACUGCCCGAUGGAGGGGGAUAACUACUGGAAACGGUAGCUAAUACCGCAUACCGUCGCAAGACCAAAGUGGGGGACCUUCGGGCCUCACACCAUCGGAUGUGCCCAGAUGGGAUUAGCUAGUAGGUGGGAUAAUGGCUCACCUAGGCGACGAUCGCUAGCUGGUCUGAGAGGAUGGCCAGCCACACUGUAACUGAGACACGGGCCAGACACCGACGGGAGGCAGGGGUGGGGAAUAUUGCACGAUGGGCGCAAGCCUGAUGCAGCCAUGCCGCGUGUAUGAAGAAGGCCUUCGGGUUGUAAAGUACUUUCAGCGGGGAGGAAGGCGGUGAAGUUAAUAGCUUCACCGAUUGACGUUACCCGCAGAAGAAGCACCGGCUAACUCCGUGCCAGCCGCCGCCGUAA
Molecule: ribosomal RNA, 504 nt
Filed under: uncultured bacterium
Lineage: Bacteria
Description: partial 16S ribosomal RNA
Rfam family: Bacterial small subunit ribosomal RNA
Source: RNAcentral